UGGGGAAUAUUGGACAAUGGGCGGAAGCCUGAUCCAGCAACGCCGCGUGAGGGAUGACGGCCUUCGGGUUGUAAACCUCUUUCAGUACCGACGAAGCGAAAGUGACGGUAGGUACAGAAAGAAGGACCGGCCAACUACGUGCCAGCAGCCGCGGUAAUACGUAGGGUCCGAGCGUUGUCCGGAAUUAUUGGGCGUAAAGGGCUCGUAGGCGGUUUGUCGCGUCGGGAGUGAAAACAGCGGGCUUAACUCGUUGCUUGCUUUCGAUACGGGCAGACUAGAGGUAUGCAGGGGGAGAAUGGAAUUCCUGGUGUAGCGGUGAAAUGCGCAGAUAUCAGGAGGAACACCGGUGGCGAAGGCGGUUCUCUGGGCAUUACCUGACGCUGAGGAGCGAAAGUGUGGGGAGCGAACAGGAUUAGAUACCCUGGUAGUCCACACCGUAAAACGUUGGGCGCUAGGUGUGGGGUCCUUUCCACGGAUUCCGUGCCGUAGCUAACGCAUUAAGCGCCCCGCCUGGGGGAGUACGGCCGCAAGGCUAAAACUC
Molecule: ribosomal RNA, 541 nt
Filed under: uncultured bacterium
Lineage: Bacteria
Description: partial 16S ribosomal RNA
Rfam family: Bacterial small subunit ribosomal RNA
Source: RNAcentral